CCUACGGGGUGCAGCAGUAGGGAAUUUUCGUCAAUGGGCGCAAGCCUGAACGAGCAAUGCCGCGUGAACGAGGAAGGUCUUCGGAUCGUAAAGUUCUGUUGAAGGGGAAAAAGAGCGGAGAGAGGAAAUGCUUUCUGAUUGAUAUUACCCUUCGAGGAAGUCACGGCUAACUACGUGCCAGCAGCCGCGGUAAUACGUAGGUGGCGAGCGUUAUCCGGAAUUACUGGGUGUAAAGGGCGUGUAGGCGGGACUGCAAGUCAGAUGUGAAAACCAUGGGCUCAACCCAUGGCCUGCAUUUGAAACUGUAGUUCUUGAGUGUUGGAGAGGCAGGCGGAAUUCCGUGUGUAGCGGUGAAAUGCGUAGAUAUACGGAGGAACACCAGUGGCGAAGGCGGCCUGCUGGACAAUAACUGACGCUGAGGCGCGAAAGCGUGGGGAGCAAACAGGAUUAGAUACCCGUGUAGUC
Molecule: ribosomal RNA, 465 nt
Filed under: uncultured bacterium
Lineage: Bacteria
Description: partial 16S ribosomal RNA
Rfam family: Bacterial small subunit ribosomal RNA
Source: RNAcentral